Nothobranchius furzeri (turquoise killifish) is the source of this 4057-nucleotide non-coding RNA. The record is from RefSeq and is a predicted model, not a curated record. Lineage: Eukaryota; Metazoa; Chordata; Actinopteri; Cyprinodontiformes; Nothobranchiidae.
GCCAAUGGAGCGGGACACGGAUGUCAGCUGGGAGCACACAACAACACCGCGGAUGUAACGGGAAACACUGCACACCUACUUAAGCUGAUAAAACAACAAGAGGACGGAUGUAACGGGAAUCUCUGGGCAGCUGCGCUGAUAAAACGGGACACGACGAGAGGAGGCAGCCAAGCGUGAACCACCUGUGCGCACGGAGAUGGUGGUGAGCUUUGCGCAGACAGCAAGCCGUUAGCAGAUAGUCUAGUGGUAUGAUCAUUGAAAUCUGCACAUGUGUUGAUGGACAGAAGGCUCCUGGACACUGCACAAUCAUUUGGAACGAUCUGAUCGCUCCCCGGACUCAGCAAAACGCGCGUCUGUGACAGCAGCUUUGCGCAGGAGUUCACGUGACCAAAACAUAGCAGAGACACGCGGUAAAAACGUCACCACUGCAUGACUGUCACACCUGAGUAGGAGAUCAGAAGCAUCCUUUAAGGAUUAGACACCGUGAAACAUGGAUGCACCUGCUGGAAGACUAGCUCUGCACCAGUUAACCCAUUAAACCUUCAUGCUAAUCGUGCAGCAUCUCAGUAACACACUUUGGAUGACUUCACCUCCUCCAGCCAGCCAAACCUAAUGGGAAGGAUCAUCUUGGCGUGCAGAGGUCAGCUAGACUGCCCUAGAGGUGUGCCACAGAUGACACUUGUCACGAUUUGAGGAGGAUGGUUUGGACCCAAGACGCAGAACCCAGGAUGUCAAAAGGCAGAAGGUGGUUCAAAGUAAAAUCCUUUUAGUUUAGGACAAAGAAAAAAAGUAAUCCGAGGCAGCGAGCCAAAGUCCAAAACGUCCUGGAGAACAGGAACACCCAAAGCUCUUCUUAGAGCACAAAAACCUGGAGACAAAGUUCAUACAGAGCACGAGCAACGCAGACAACAUACCACAAUGAACCGACAUCAGACACAGACCAGACAGAGCUUAUAUACACAGGGAGAAGUGAUUAGGGAAAAUGGCAGCAGGUGUGUGAAGUGAGAGCUGGAGGGAAGACAGGUGAACCUAAUAAUCAAAAUGGGCAAACAGAAACAGAGGAGGGCCAAAUAAACCUAAGAAACUCUAAGACACCAAAACUAAACCUAAGGGCUGCGGGAAGGACUAACACACACACACAGAACUACACACAAAUACUGAGCAGGAGGCUGAAUCUCACACACACGUUGAGCUGGGGACAAAGAAGCUGGGGACUAAAAGGACACAGAAUGUAAAUGAGACCUGGAUGACCUGGGGAUGAACGAGACGACACAAGACCUGGGAGGAAUAGACGUAAAGGACUACAAACAUAAGACACUAAACUGACACGCAGAAAAAGGACACAUGAGGGCGCCAAAGAGCUACAGCAUAAGACACAUAACAGGGAUGCAGACAAGGACACAUGAGGGCGCUAAGAGAGCACAAGGGGAGAUCCUGGAGUGGAGCACAAGAGGAGCUGGGGAACAAAAGGACACAAGAGGGAAUCUAGAGAGGGAUGGAGGACACCAGGAGGCACAAAAAGGGAAGGGGCUGACGCAGACCAUGACAACACUUGUCCAAAUAGGAGGCUGAUCGCACUUGUUUAACAGGCAAAGCUCAAGCACAGUGUCUCAAACAGUCUCCUCUUGUUAUAGGACUCAACUGGCUGCAGAAACACGGUGACUCCCAAGCGGAGUAAACAUUAUUCCUUCAAAUCCAUCCACAUGUCUUGAAAGGAGUCAUGUCUCUCCAAGUCCAAACCAGCCUCCUCCAUAUCCUCUCGUGUGUGUGUGUGUGUGUGUGUUUGACAUUGUAGCGAUCCAAAGCCGUGGAAAUAACUUCUGACUGGGACAGUACACAGGAGCAGCUCCCUGCUGACCAGAACCUCUAUUGGACACGUCUUUGUCACCUGGCACAAGAGUUUGUUCAGCUGCUCAUGCAGCAUCUGUGCUCCUGGCUGCAGUCGUGUACAUCACAAAGUGAGAAAUUGAAUGUGACACCUUAGUGAGAAGUCAGGGUCUGUUUUAUUGUACUCAAAAUAAUGGUGUGCUACUUAUAAUCCAUAAAUGGAGUCCAAAGAAUGUAUAAUUUUUAAAUGGCAGCUGUAAUAAAGUGGUUGUACAUUCAAAAUCUCACAUUGUUCUGUUUACAUUUGUGUGAAAACAAGGUCCAAUCAGGCUGAAACAUAACAGGAAGGGAGAAUCUAUGGAGUUGUAAAUGAUCUGCACGUUUCAUGAUGAUAGCACAUUCCUAAGGGGGUCAGAUGAUGUCACAAAGGUCACCAGGCCUGGUGUGACUUGAAGGACGGUUUCGAAAAACAGCUUUGGAGGCUCAUAACUUGGCUUCUGAAUGUCCUAGAGAGGUCAGGUUUGUUUUAAAAUACUCUGCUUACCAGCCCCUAUCACCAGCAGAAGGAAUGGAGUCAUUAGCACUUAUGAUUUUUAAAUGGCCCCCAGAAUUAUGUCGCACGAAGCCCAAUUUCACAUAAUUUUGGUUCCAUUUGUGUGAAAACAAGCUCCAAUCUGUCUGAAAUUAACACAUGAUGGACCUGUGAGGUCAAGGAGCACACAGUAUCAGUGUCAAGUCUGGAGGUUGAAGAGAACCCUGUUUUCAGCUGAAAUCCAUCAUUUUUUCUGACCUCUGACCCAGAACAGCACCAGAACAACGAGCUACGGCUACCAAACUGCCUGAGCUAGCUCUGGGUGACGGCGGCAUGCCAAAUCGACAUUUGUUUGGUGAAAAUCGGUUGAGAAAUGCCACUUUGCCGAGCACAUGACAGAAAAGUUGGGAAAAGUGCCGUACGGCCCCAAACGGACGCUUAACACGAUGCGACCGGCACGAACUCGACGUAUGUGGUUCGGGCCAGUGCUGGGAUGCACCAGAAGAGUUUUCGGGCGCCUCGAAUCAACGAUGGCCGAACAGCGGCCAAAAAGGGUCUAAAAAUCGUGGUUUCGGGCCUAGGGUUUUGCCCGUUGCUUUUAAUUAAUUAAAAAUAGUUAAAUUCCACGUAGGGACAUGAAAUUCACAUAUGUUGUAAAGAAGGACAUGCCGAAUCAUAAUAUUUUAGCUGUGUGGCUGCCGUCAGCCACAGUCAUGCAGUUUUGAGAUAAUUUAUGGUUCAAGUUACGAUAAAUAAGCUAAGAAUAUUUUAUUUUUAAUAAUGUAUACGUUAUGGGGUUUAAAAGCACACAUUUAAAUGGUUUACAGAAUAUUUCCAGGGUGGAACCAAUGUUUAGUUUGUUGUUUCGGGGUUGACAAUAUUUUCAGUUGCACGCCACACUUGAUAGGCGGCAGCAUGCUAACCGCUAUCAUUCGUUGGUAGAGCUAUGCAGACGCAUGCAACGACGUUUUCCAGCUGUGGAAAGGAGUGACACUGCAAGAUGUGUUUUUUAUUAACCCCUGCAAGUUAAUGCGGCCAAUGAGGUAUGCAAUGUGUGUGUUUAUGUCGUGAUGGGAAAAUAAGAUGUUUGUUUGUGACAGAACUGUCGAGUCUAUGGUGGUCACGGGUAAUUUGUAAAUGUAAAUUGUGAGUGUUUUAUCUUGUGUAUUAGUGUUUCAUUGUUUAUUCUCUAUGAGAACGAAUUGAUUAUUCUAUGUCAUUUGUACAGUUCUCAUGGCACCGUUGGUGGCACCUGUGUGCAAUAAAUGCCAGUCAAAAUUCAAGAACGCCUUGUGUCCGUUUUCAACUUGGAGGGAGUUACAGCUGCGUCACGCUACGUCGCUCACUGACCAAGUUCGGCCACUAGGGGGCGCAGUCAAAAAAUAUUUUUCACUCUCUGGUUCGGAAGUCCGGUACGAGCGCAAAAAUCUACUCGCCUUUUUGAUAGCCCUCACGGCGCUAGAAUUGCGCCAUUGCAAACUUGCAAAAAUCAUGCGCUUUGGGGGGCUAUAUCUCCGGAACCACAAAAUAUUUUGCCACCAAACCACCUCGGAUGGACUCAUGCUUGGCCCCCGAACCACAUAUCCGAAGAUGGCGCCGCUGGCGCCAGCAGAACUUUUUCUUUCCACCUUCUACCAGGAAAACACAAGUCCUCUUUGAGGCGAUGGGUCUAAGAGGGCAUUUUUGGCCAAACUCAGA